Molecule: long non-coding RNA, 676 nt
Organism: Silurus meridionalis
Lineage: Eukaryota; Metazoa; Chordata; Actinopteri; Siluriformes; Siluridae
Exons: 3
Source: RefSeq, a predicted model, not a curated record
UGUGGCGCCCCCUAAUGGAAGAAGCUGAAAGAAGAAGAAGAAGAAUACUAACAGUUAUCAUGAAUACGCGGGCGCCAUUUUCCCUUCAUCUCCCACCGGAAGCGACAUCACUCACACCGGAAGUGGAAUGGAAAUGGCGUGGACUUAGCAAAUGCGUAUGAACCUUUGACUUCAAUUAACCUGUGCAACAAUGAAUUGCAAUCAUCUGUCUGCCCUGAGCCGAAUCCAAGGCUGCUGUGCCUCUGACUGGAGAAGAAUAGAAGAUGAGGAGGAGGAGGGGGAGUAAAGACGUGUUUUACUAAGAGGCGUUGCUGUCUAUCUGAAGGAAGAUGUUUGUGGUUCAUUAUCUCUUCAUUCCCACUGCACUUAUUGUGGAAGGUUCUGCUUUUCAGUGUGACAUUGUAUCCUCAUGUUAUAUCUUUUCAAUGUAGAGCAAAAUCCUCUUGCUACGAUUCCUGUACAAGUGUAGAAAUGUAUCCAUUACAAAUGUUUGUGAUGAGUCACUUCUGCUUUUAAUGGAAUGAGAUUUUGACACAUUUUCUCUUUCACUGAAUCUAAAAAGAUUCUAAAGCUAGCAAUGCUAAACCACCUGAUGAUCACAAGUUAGAUUUACAUCAAUCCAGCUAAUGGUUCCACAUAGAACAAGAAAAUUAAAUGGUACGUAUUUAUUUAUUUA